This 357-nucleotide long non-coding RNA is filed under the name Equus asinus (donkey). Its description in RNAcentral is "lncRNA (ENSEASG00005028636.1)". The record is from RNAcentral. Lineage: Eukaryota; Metazoa; Chordata; Mammalia; Perissodactyla; Equidae.
GCAACAGGAUGGCGCAAGCACGGGGCAGAGGCAGUGGAGUCCUGAAGAUGAGAAGGUGUGAGCCUUAGGAAGAUCUGGGGAGACACGUCCCGCAUAGAGGGAGCAGUUGGUCUGAAGGUCCUAAGGAAGAUUAGCCCUGAGCUAACAUCUGCUGCCAAUUCUCCUCUUUUUGCUGAGGAAGCCUGCCCUGAGCUGACAUCUGUGCCCAUCUUCCUCUACUUUAUAUGUGGGACACCUGCCACAGCAUGGCUUGAUAAAUGGUGUGUAGGUCCACACCUGGAGUCUGAACCAGUGAACCAUGGGUGGCCGAAGCUGAGUGUUCAAAACUUAACUGCUGUGCCACUGGGCUGGCCCCCA